GUGAAUCAUCAAAUCUUUGAACGCAAAUUGCGCCUUUUUCGGAAGGCAUGUCUGUUUUAGGUCACCAUUUAACAAAUAAUGUGCAGCGUUUUUUGCUUCAUAGUUGAUGAGCUUUCCAAGAAUUAUAAAUUUUUGGUGUCUCAUAAUGAACAGCGUGAAAGUUUUUUUCAUUUCGAGUGUAGUAAAAUCCCUGCUUGGGUUGUGAAAAAACAUAAUCGCGCAAUGGGUGGGGCAAUUUCUUUUGAUCCCUGCCCCAAUGCCACUCUUUCUCAC
This 273-nucleotide unclassified non-coding RNA is filed under the name Paraglomerales sp. RNAcentral's name for it is "partial contains 5.8S ribosomal RNA and internal transcribed spacer 2". The record is from RNAcentral. Lineage: Eukaryota; Fungi; Glomeromycota; Glomeromycetes; Paraglomerales.